GGAUGUGAGGGCGAUCUGGCUGCGACAUCUGUCACCCCAUUGAUCGCCAGGGUUGAUUCGGCUGAUCUGGCUGGCUAGGCGGGUGUCCCCUUCCUCCCUCACCGCUCCAUGUGCGUCCCUCCCGAAGCUGCGUGCUCGGUCGAAGAGGACGACCAUCCCCGAUAGAGGAGGACCGUUCUUUGGUCAAGGGUAUAGGAGUAGCUGCGCUGCCCUGCUAGAACCUCCAAACAAGCUCUCAAAUAUAUAUUUUUAGUGCCUUCUCAAAUAAAAAGUAAACAAUAUAAAAAAUAAUGCUUUGAUUUUCUACUUU
Molecule: small nuclear RNA, 310 nt
Filed under: Castor canadensis (American beaver)
Lineage: Eukaryota; Metazoa; Chordata; Mammalia; Rodentia; Castoridae
Description: 7SK RNA (ENSCCNG00000007623.1)
Rfam family: 7SK RNA
About the family: 7SK was discovered as an abundant small nuclear RNA in the mid-70s but a possible function has only recently been suggested. Two independent studies have found that 7SK RNA binds the CDK9/cyclin T complex (known as elongation factor P-TEFb).
Source: Rfam by way of RNAcentral